RNAcentral lists this ribosomal RNA (497 nucleotides) under uncultured bacterium. Its description in RNAcentral is "partial 16S ribosomal RNA". It matches the Rfam family "Bacterial small subunit ribosomal RNA", at positions 28 to 507 of the family's 1533-position model. The record is from RNAcentral.
GAUGAACGCUGGCGGCGUGCCUAAUACAUGCAAGUCGAGCGAACGGACGAGAAGCUUGCUUCUCUGCUGUUAGCGGCGGACGGGUGAGUAACACGGGGAUAACCUACCUACAAGACUGGGAUAACUUCGGGAAACCGUAGCUAAUACCGGAUAAUAUUGUGAACCGCAUGGUUCAAAAGUGAAAGACGGUCUUGCUGUCACUUAUAGAUGGAUCCGCGCUGCAUUAGCUAGUUGGUAAGGUAACGGCUUACCAAGGCAACGAUGCAUAGCCGACCUGAGAGGGUGAUCGGCCCACCUGGAACUGCGACACGGUCCAGACUCCUACGGGAGGCAGCAGUAGGGAAUCUUCCGCAAUGGGCGGAAGCCUGACGGAGCAACCCCGCGUGAGUGAUGACGGUCUUCGGAUCGUAACACUCUGUUAUUCGGGAAGAACAUAUGUGUAAGUAACUGUGAGCAUCUUGACGGUAACUAAUCAGAAAGCCACGGCUAACUCCGUG